CCCGUGUAAAAGCUCUUUCGACGAGUCGAGUUGUUUGGGAAUGCAGCUCAAAAUGGGUGGUAAAUUUCAUCUAAAGAUAAAUAUUGGCCAGAGACCGAUAGCGCACAAGUAGAGUGAUCGAAAGAUGAAAAGCANUUUGGAAAGAGAGUUAAACAGUACGUGAAAUUGUUGAAAGGGAAGCGCUUGCACCCAGACGUUGGGCGUCGUCGAUCAUCCGAGGUUCUCCUCGGUGCACUCGGCGAGGCACAGGCCAGCAUCGGUUUGGAUGGUUGGAGAAAGGCUCUAGGAACGUAGCUCUCUUCGGGGAGUGUUAUAGCCUAGGGCGUAAUGCAGCCCAUCCGGACCGAGGACCGCGCCUUUGGGCUAGGAUGCUGGCGUAAUGGUUGCAAGCGACCCGUCUUGAAACACGGACCAAGGAGUCUAACAUCUAUGCGAGUGUUUGGGCGUUAAACCCAUACGCGGAAUGAAAGUGAACGUAGGUGAGAACCCGUCUGGGUGCAUCAUCGACCGAUCCUGAUGUCUUCGGAUGGAUUUGAGUACGAGCAUAGCUGUUGGGACCCGAAAGAUGGUGAACUAUGCCUGAAUAGGGUGAAGCCAGAGGAAACUCUGGUGGAGGCUCGCAGCGGUUCUGACGUGCAAAUCGAUCGUCAAAUUUGGGUAUAGGGGCGAAAGACUAAUCGAACC
Molecule: ribosomal RNA, 684 nt
Filed under: Golovinomyces verbasci
Lineage: Eukaryota; Fungi; Ascomycota; Leotiomycetes; Helotiales; Erysiphaceae
Description: LSU rRNA
Rfam family: Eukaryotic large subunit ribosomal RNA
Source: RNAcentral